AGCGAACGCUGGCGGCGUGCCUAACACAUGCAAGUCGAACGUGAAAAGGGAAACCUGAGUAAAGUGGCGUACGGGUGAGUAACGCGUAGGUAAUCUACCCCAGAAUCUGGAAUAACCUGCCGAAAGGCGGGCUAAUACUGGCUAUAGCGAGGGAACUCGUAAGAGAGUUUUUCGGGGAGGGGAGCCCGCAAGGGCCUUCGGUCUGGGCUGAGCCUGCGUCUCAUUAUCUAGUUGGUAAGGUAACGGCUUACCAAGGCGAUGAUGAGUAGCUGGUCUGAGAGGAUGAUCAGCCAAACUGGAACUGAAACACGGGCCAGACUCCUACGGGAGGCAGCAGUGGGGAAUCUUGCGACAUGGACGAAAGUCUGACGCAGGCACGCCGCGGGAGUGAAGAAGGCCUUCGGGUUGUAAAGCUCUGUCGGAUGGGAAGAACAUAUUCAUAGUGAAUAGCUAUGAGGACUGACGGUACCAUAAAAGGAAGCACCGGCUAACUCCGUG
RNAcentral lists this ribosomal RNA (498 nucleotides) under uncultured bacterium. RNAcentral describes it as "partial 16S ribosomal RNA". It matches the Rfam family "Bacterial small subunit ribosomal RNA", at positions 29 to 507 of the family's 1533-position model. The record is from RNAcentral.